UACGUAGGGACCAAGCGUUGUUCGGAUUUACUGGGCGUAAAGGGCGCGUAGGCGGCGCGGUAAGUCACUUGUGAAAUCUCCGGGCUUAACCCGGAAAGGUCAACUGAUACUGCGGGGCUAGAGUGCAGAAGGGGCAACUGGAAUUCUCGGUGUAGCGGUGAAAUGCGUAGAUAUCGAGAGGAACACCUGCGGCGAAGGCGGGUUGCUGGGCUGACACUGACGCUGAACUGCGAAAGCUAGGGGAGCGAACGGG
Molecule: ribosomal RNA, 253 nt
Filed under: uncultured bacterium
Lineage: Bacteria
Description: partial 16S ribosomal RNA
Rfam family: Bacterial small subunit ribosomal RNA
Source: RNAcentral